RNAcentral lists this ribosomal RNA (397 nucleotides) under uncultured bacterium. RNAcentral's name for it is "partial 16S ribosomal RNA". It matches the Rfam family "Bacterial small subunit ribosomal RNA", at positions 523 to 918 of the family's 1533-position model. The record is from RNAcentral.
AUACGUAGGGGGCGAGCGUUGUCCGGAAUGACUGGGCGUAAAGGGCGUGUAGGCGGUUGUCUAAGUCUGGAGUGAAAGUCCUGCUUUCAAGGUGGGAAUAGCUUUGGAUACUGGAUGACUUGAGUGCGGGAGAGGUAAGUGGAAUUCCCAGUGUAGCGGUGAAAUGCGUAGAGAUUGGGAGGAACACCAGUGGCGAAGGCGACUUACUGGGCCGGAACUGACGCUGAGGCGCGAAAGCGUGGGGAGCGAACAGGAUUAGAUACCCUGGUAGUCCACGCGGUAAACGAUGAAUGCUAGGUGUAAGAGGUAUCGACCCCUUUUGUGCCGGAGUCAACACAAUAAGCAUUCCGCCUGGGGAGUACGGCCGCAAGGUUGAAACUCAAAGGAAUUGACGGGG